GCCACUUAUAUACAUAUUGCAGAUCUUUCUCUCACAAAAUUCAAAAAAAAAAUAUAAGAGAAAAGGAAUGUAAACACCACAGUUUCUUCCGGGGGGGAAACUUGACUUCCUUGUCAUGUUCAUGAAAACACCACCUUCCAUCCAUAUCUCCUUCUCAUAUUGAUUCUCCAAAAAAGCAUUCAUCACCUUUUUCACCAAGCAAAAUUUUCAUUCUUCAAAUCACCAACUUUUUCUCAUAUUGAUUCUCCAAAAAAGCAUUCAUCACCUUUUUCACCAAGCAAAAUUUUCAUUCUUCAAAUCACCAACUUAAUACAAACCCACACAAAACUCUUUCAUUUUCAUGUUCUAAUCUUAUUUUCAUUCAUUCACAUAACUAUUUCUUUUUCAUUCUAACAUAUUAACUUCAACAAUACAAAAUCAUUAAUACACACACAUCCUUCUCUCUAUCUCUCACUUUCAAAAAGAGUGAAAAAUUUAGGAAAAAAAAGAGAUAAGUUUCAUUAAGUGAAGGAAAUGCUUUCUCAAGAGUUUCCCAUCUUAAAAUACAAUCAUUUUAGUUUCGCUACGCUGCCGCAGACAACAAC
Molecule: long non-coding RNA, 584 nt
Filed under: Lathyrus oleraceus (garden pea)
Lineage: Eukaryota; Viridiplantae; Streptophyta; Magnoliopsida; Fabales; Fabaceae
Description: Pisum sativum (pea) long non-coding RNA (PSAT_LNC031826)
Source: RNAcentral